GAGUUUGAUCCUGGCUCAGAAUCAACGCUGGCGGCGUGCCUCAGACAUGCAAGUCGAACGAGAAAGUCCCCUUCGGGGGAUAAGUAAAGUGGCGUCCGGGUGAGUAACACGUAGGUAAUCUACCUUCGGGUGGGGAAUAACCCAGGGAAACUUGGGCUAACACCGCAUAAUGCAGCGGCACCACAUGGUGACAGUUGUUAAAGCGGGGGAUUUUAGGACCUCGCGCCUGAAGAGGAGCCUGCGGCGGAUUAGCUAGUUGGUAAGGUAACGGCUUACCAAGGCGACGAUCCGUAGCCGGCCUGAGAGGGCGGUCGGCCACACUGACACUGACAUACGGGUCAGACUCCUACNGGGAGGCAGCAGUCGGGAAUUUUGGGCAAUGGGCGAAAGCCUGACCCAGCAACGCCGCGUGAAGGAUGAAGACCUUCGGGUCGUAAACUCCUUUCGACCGAGAUGAAGAGCCUCCGACCUAAUACGUCGGAGGCCUGACAGUAUCGAGGGAAGAAGCCCCGGCUAACUCUGUGCCAGCAGCCGCGGUAAUACAGGGGGGGCAAGCGUUGUUCGGAAUUACUGGGCGUAAAGGGUUCGUAGGUGGCUUACUAAGUCAGACGUGAAAUCCCUCAGCUUAACUGGGGAACUGCGUCUGAUACUGGAAAGCUUGAGUGCAGGAGAGGAACGCGGAAUUCCAGGUGUAGCGGUGAAAUGCGUAGAUAUCUGGAGGAACACCGGUGGCGAAGGCGCUCAUCUGGCCCAAUACUGACGCUGAGGCGCGAAAGCUAGGGGAGCAAACGGGAUUAGAUACCCCGGUAGUCCUAGCCGUAAACGGUGAUCACUAGGUGUUGGAGGCAUCGACCCCUCCAGUGCCGCAGCUAACGCAUUAAGUGAUCCGCCUGGGGAGUACGGCCGCAAGGUUGAAACUCAAAGGAAUUGACGGGGGCCCGCACAAGCGGUGGAGCAUGUGGUUUAAUUCGACGCAACGCGAAGAACCUUACCCAGACUUGACAUGCAUUGGAUAGGUGUGGAAACACACCUUCCCUUCGGGGCCGAUGCACAGGUGCUGCAUGGCUGUCGUCAGCUCGUGUCGUGAGAUGUUGGGUUAAGUCCCGCAACGAGCGCAACCCUUGUCCUUAGUUGCUAACGGGUAAUGCUGAGCACUCUAAGGAGACUGCCGGUGAUAAACCGGAGGAAGGUGGGGAUGACGUCAAGUCCUCAUGGCCCUUACGUCUGGGGCUACACACGUGCUACAAUGGCCGGCACAAAGGGUUCCGAUACCGCGAGGUGGAGGCAAUCCCAAAAAACCGGUCUCAGUUCGGAUUGCAGUCUGCAACUCGACUGCAUGAAGUCGGAAUCGCUAGUAUCGCUGAUCAGCAGGCAGCGGUGAAUACGUUCCCGGGCCUUGUACACAC
RNAcentral lists this ribosomal RNA (1406 nucleotides) under uncultured bacterium. RNAcentral describes it as "partial 16S ribosomal RNA". It matches the Rfam family "Bacterial small subunit ribosomal RNA". The record is from RNAcentral.